GCUUCUUGCAUGGUAGUGUAGGAAGGAAAGAGAUGUGAGGGUGGAAUGAUCUGAUGUGUUUAGUUGGAGCUGAGGUGAAUUGACAAGCAGUAACUUGAACUUGUGUCUUUAAAUCCCUUGAAAAUGUUCCCAAGGAAGAAAUGGACAAGGACAGGCCUGGCGUUUUUAGGAAGUGUCCAAUAUUAUCUACAAAUAGGUUCAAGAAAUCACAUUCAUGGUGUUUACUUUUGCUAGAAGAAUCUGAACUGGCUAUGGCUCACCUUGGAARACUUUAAAUGUUUUUAGAGUGUUGUUGUCUAAUGAAAACCUUAAGGAUAAACUUUAGUUACGUCAUUCUACUUCAUCCCUCCAAAACAUAUUGUUUUCUGCCAUGUGUCUGCCAUGAUGUCAGACUGUAACACAUUCUUAUCUGCACUUCAACCCUGAGGUAGUAAAUGCACUGAGAUUUGUAUGGUCAUUUUGUACAUCUCCCUAAUUUGCUUGAUGAGGCUCAGCUGUGCACCUUGUGGUGUGAAGACCAGGGCUCAGAAGAGGAAUACAAUCCCACAAUACAACACUGGAUCUGUAUGAACCUUUGAAACCUGUUUGAACCUCGCUUUUGGUGGAUCCCAUCAUUCUAAUAAAAACCUGAACUGAAAACUGUGGAUUAGAGGCACUGCCAACAGCAGUAAGGAAUGGAGCUGCUGAGGUGUGGAAUGUGGAAACCACCCUCACAAUGUUGCUGUUGGACCAGCAUUCUGGCAGGAAAAAUCCUGCCAUCAGACAUUGUGACAAAGCUUCUUGUGCUAUAAUGGAGACGCUGAGGGGCGGUCAGACUUGGAGAGGCGCCGGUCUGCUCCCAUUCCACCUCUGUACAAAUACCUCAGUGGAACUUGUGUGGAGCUUCCAGACCCCCGGACGCUUCUUCCCACCCACCCUUCAUUUCAUCGUUUGACAAUGUUUGAAUCACAUUUUACACACGUCGGAUUCAUCUGGAGUAGAAAGUGUUUUUUUUUUUUUUUUUUUGGCUCAUUUUCAGGUGUUUCCAAGGACUGUUGCAGACUAAAAUGACACUGGUUGGAGAGCAGACUAACGCACACUCAGGUCUCCUCUUGCAGGAUUUUCAAGCUGGUGAUGUUUUUUCCUGCGCACAUGCUCCCCCUGGAUACAGACACCCCUUGUGAAGCAACAUGGCACGUUGAAAAGACAGACUUUAUUGCUAAAAACGUGUAACCAUAACAUGUACACUGAUAUGUCUUGUUUUGUUUUCAAUUCAUUUCUUUAUUUUUUGUCAUUUUUUAAGAAAUAUUUAAGUCUUCCAUAUUUUUUUGUCUGGUAUAUUCUGCUAUUCUCUUUUCCCUUAUGCUCUAUUACUCACAAAUCGUUAAAAUAAUAAAUAAAACGUACAGAUCUGUUCAUUCCUACAAUACUAUCCAAAAAAAAGCUGAGUUCACGCCUUUAUAUAUAAUC
Molecule: long non-coding RNA, 1449 nt
Organism: Austrofundulus limnaeus
Lineage: Eukaryota; Metazoa; Chordata; Actinopteri; Cyprinodontiformes; Rivulidae
Exons: 3
Source: RefSeq, a predicted model, not a curated record